Molecule: ribosomal RNA, 253 nt
Filed under: uncultured bacterium
Lineage: Bacteria
Description: partial 16S ribosomal RNA
Rfam family: Bacterial small subunit ribosomal RNA
Source: RNAcentral
UACGAGGGGGGCAAGUGUUGUUCGGAAUCACUGGGCGUAAAGGGAGCGUAGGCGGGCUCUUAAGUUGGAUGUUUAAAACCGGGGCCUAACCCCGGCGUGGCAUCCAAAACUGGGAGUCUUGAAUGGGACAGAGGCUAGUGGAAUUGGAGGUGUAGCGGUGGAAUGCGUAGAGAUCUCCAAGAACACCCGUUGCGAAGGCGGCUAGCUGGGUCCACAUUGACGCUGAGGCUCGAAAGCGUGGGGAGCAAACAGG